Molecule: ribosomal RNA, 477 nt
Filed under: Pantoea dispersa
Lineage: Bacteria; Pseudomonadati; Pseudomonadota; Gammaproteobacteria; Enterobacterales; Erwiniaceae
Description: bacterial SSU rRNA
Rfam family: Bacterial small subunit ribosomal RNA
Source: RNAcentral
AGUGGGGGACCUUCGGGCCACACACCAUCGGAUGUGCCCGGAUGGGAUUAGCUAGUAGGUGGGGUAAUGGCUCACCUAGGCGACGAUCCCUAGCUGGUCUGAGAGGAUGACCAGCCACACUGGAACUGAGACACGGUCCAGACUCCUACGGGAGUANGCAGUGGGGAAUAUUGCACAAUGGGCGCAAGCCUGAUGCAGCCAUGCCGCGUGUAUGAAGAAGGCCUUCGGGUUGUAAAGUACUUUCAGCGGGGAGGAAGGCGGUGAGGUUAAUAACCUUGCCGAUUGACGUUACCCGCAGAAGAAGCACCGGCUAACUCCGUGCCAGCAGCCGCGGUAAUACGGAGGGUGCAAGCGUUAAUCGGAAUUACUGGGCGUAAAGCGCACGCAGGCGGUCUGUUAAGUCAGAUGUGAAAUCCCCGGGCUUAACCUGGGAACUGCAUUUGAAACUGGCAGGCUUGAGUCUCGUAGAGGGGGGUA